RNAcentral lists this ribosomal RNA (820 nucleotides) under Rhodococcus (subgen. Prescottella) equi. Its description in RNAcentral is "Prescottella equi bacterial SSU rRNA". It matches the Rfam family "Bacterial small subunit ribosomal RNA", at positions 61 to 895 of the family's 1533-position model. Lineage: Bacteria; Bacillati; Actinomycetota; Actinomycetes; Mycobacteriales; Nocardiaceae. The record is from RNAcentral.
GUCGACGGUAAGGCCCCUUCGGGGGUACACGAGUGGCGAACGGGUGAGUAACACGUGGGUGAUCUGCCCUGCACUCUGGGAUAAGCCUGGGAAACUGGGUCUAAUACCGGAUAUGAGCUCCUGUCGCAUGGCGGGGGUUGGAAAGGUUUACUGGUGCAGGAUGGGCCCGCGGCCUAUCAGCUUGUUGGUGGGGUAAUGGCCUACCAAGGCGACGACGGGUAGCCGGCCUGAGAGGGCGACCGGCCACACUGGGACUGAGACACGGCCCAGACUCCUACGGGAGGCAGCAGUGGGGAAUAUUGCACAAUGGGCGAAAGCCUGAUGCAGCGACGCCGCGUGAGGGAUGACGGCCUUCGGGUUGUAAACCUCUUUCAGCAGGGACGAAGCGAGAGUGACGGUACCUGCAGAAGAAGCACCGGCCAACUACGUGCCAGCAGCCGCGGUAAUACGUAGGGUGCGAGCGUUGUCCGGAAUUACUGGGCGUAAAGAGCUCGUAGGCGGUUUGUCGCGUCGUCCGUGAAAACUUGGGGCUCAACCCCAAGCUUGCGGGCGAUACGGGCAGACUUGAGUACUGCAGGGGAGACUGGAAUUCCUGGUGUAGCGGUGAAAUGCGCAGAUAUCAGGAGGAACACCGGUGGCGAAGGCGGGUCUCUGGGCAGUAACUGACGCUGAGGAGCGAAAGCGUGGGUAGCGAACAGGAUUAGAUACCCUGGUAGUCCACGCCGUAAACGGUGGGCGCUAGGUGUGGGUUUCCUUCCACGGGAUCCGUGCCGUAGCUAACGCAUUAAGCGCCCCGCCUGGGGAGUACGGCCGCAAUGCU